Molecule: ribosomal RNA, 266 nt
Filed under: uncultured Bacteroides sp.
Lineage: Bacteria; Pseudomonadati; Bacteroidota; Bacteroidia; Bacteroidales; Bacteroidaceae
Description: partial 16S ribosomal RNA
Rfam family: Bacterial small subunit ribosomal RNA
Source: RNAcentral
CGCACGGGUGAGUAACACGUAUCCAACCUGCCGUCUACUCUUGGCCAGCCUUCUGAAAGGAAGAUUAAUCCAGGAUGGGAUCAUGAGUUCACAUGUCCGCAUGACGCAUAGAGGUCGCAUGAUCUUUAUGCCAAAGAUUUAUCGCUUCAAGAUGGCCUCGCGUCUGAUUAGCUAGUUGGCGGGGUAACGGCCCACCAAACCGACGAUGGAUAGGGGUUCUGAGAGGAAGGUCCCCCACAUUGGUACUGAGACACGGACCAAACUCC